This 101-nucleotide non-coding RNA is filed under the name Megasphaera cerevisiae. Its description in RNAcentral is "SAM-I sequence". It matches the Rfam family "SAM riboswitch aptamer (S box leader)". Rfam says of the family: The SAM riboswitch is found upstream of a number of genes which code for proteins involved in methionine or cysteine biosynthesis in Gram-positive bacteria. The SAM riboswitch acts at the level of transcription termination control. RNAcentral also lists the same sequence under 1 other name. The record is from RNAcentral. Lineage: Bacteria; Bacillati; Bacillota; Negativicutes; Veillonellales; Veillonellaceae.
CAUUCAUCGAGAGCAGCAGAAGGACUGGCCUAAUGAAGCUGCGGCAACCUCCGUCAUACGGAACGGUGCCAAUUCCAGCAGGAUUACCUGACAGAUGAGCU